CUAUCUGCUAUACUGUAGGGGGACCUCAAUGACCACAAAUACUCAGUUACACUUUGAUUCACCAUGUGGGUUUUGAUAGAGCAGCUAAGAGGAUCAGAGAAGGUCACACUCUGCAGAGACACUCCCACCUGCAGUUCUUCAUAUCUCUGUAACCACACCGACAGACGUACGGUAUAUGACACACUCAGUUUUAGAACAUGGACAUUAUCAAACAUGGACGCCUCAGCUUUUUAAUAUCACUGUUCUGCAUACAAGGUCUAACUGAUGGGAGUGAUGUCACCCAGACGCCGGACAUACUGUGGGGGAAAAAGGGCGACAGUUCAACAAUGAACUGCAGCCACACCAAGGGUGCUUUCUACAACCAGAUGUACUGGUACAGACAGCUGCCAGGGGAAACAAUGAAACUAAUCGUUUUCACAAGAUCCGGCUUCGAUGAUCAUGAUUUUGGAGAUUUCAGCAAAGAGAAAUUCUCAGCCACCAAGACUCAUGCUGAGAAUGGGACAUUCACAGUGAACAAUCUGGAGCCAGAAGAUAAAGGCUUGUAUUUCUGUGCUGUGAGUGAACACAGUGAUACAGACACAUUCAACAGCUGAACAA
Molecule: non-coding RNA, 597 nt
Organism: Sander lucioperca (pikeperch)
Lineage: Eukaryota; Metazoa; Chordata; Actinopteri; Perciformes; Percidae
Source: the annotation of a RefSeq genome assembly